This 2846-nucleotide long non-coding RNA is filed under the name Ovis aries (sheep). RNAcentral describes it as "lncRNA (ENSOARG00000025407.1)". The record is from RNAcentral. Lineage: Eukaryota; Metazoa; Chordata; Mammalia; Artiodactyla; Bovidae.
AUAGGCUUGCGAAGAAAAGAGAGUAAAUGGAAAGGAUCCCAUCUAAGCAGCAACUGAUAGGCUUUUGGCACAAGCCCCCUAUGGGUCUGGUCUCCCCAGCAUGGCCCAGCUUAGACACAGAGACCACCACAGGCCAGGCAUCCCCACUGAGGCUAGAACAUGUUGUUCUUGGACCACAGCUGGCCGCUGAAAACUCAAGAGGUUACUCAAAGCUCUGUGGGAACCCCCGCCUGACCAGUAAGAGUGUGGUCCCGGAUUCAGCAAAUGCAACUUUCACCCAGAGAUGUGCUGAGCCAGCUAACGCUGGGUCUUCAAUAGCACCCGCUGCAGAGUCUUUGAGAACACAAGUGUGUGUUCCCCCAUUGACUGGGCUUUGUUUUGGGGUGGAUCAGUCCCACCCUGCUGGAGGGGCCACUUAAGAGGCCAGGGUUUCUGAGAGAAGCUGUCUGUUUGUGUUCCUGACAAAGAGGGGCACGAAGGGGCAUAGCACUUGGGCUCUCAGCAACUCCCCCGACAAGGCUGGCUUUUCAGACAAACCCGUCAGGGGUUUCACAACCUGCCCCUCAGCACAUUCACUUCCCUCUGGUAUCAAAGGAAGCAUCAAGCCAGAAACAGACUUGGCCAGCAUGUUAUUAAUAACUGUCAUGCUUAUUAACAAAUUUAAUCCAGCCUGCUGCAGAAAUGAGUUGCAGCAAAGAGACACGGUCUCCCGACACACUUGGCUGAGGCACGUCUUCAUCUGGCCCUGAUUUUCCACACCUGCAUUCAAGUUAUCCGGGCCACACAAAGCCUUUCCGUCCUCAACAGCAGGGUCGGGAGUCGGGAUUGUGUUUCCAGCAAUGGAGAGGCUGGCCAAAUGACUGUUGAUAUCAUGGCUAAACGAAAAACCGGCAUCCUUGGGCUCAGCUAACAAUACUUUUCCCUGCAUGAAAGGGCCCUUGGAGAAGCCAAGAGCACAACAGAAAUUUUUAAUAUCUUUAGCAUCACUUUUUAAAUAAAAAUGUUCUCCUUUUCACUAGGGAAAAUGUGAUUUUUCUUCAUUCAGGCCCUUUCCUCUUUGACCGGUCCUAGGUUCUUACUGCCCAUGUCUCAUGUCAGCCUCAUCCCCAGGAUUUGGCAUUCCCUGAAUCUUUGAAUGAAGACUAGAUCCCUUAUCCACCCUUAUCCAUACGCAGUUCCCUACAAUUCUGCUUGUUUCUCACUGUGCUUACAUCCUUUUCUGAUUAGUGGGUGAACUGUAGCAACUUCUAGUUCUGUCCUCUAGAACUGCUUUUGCUAAAUCACGAACUGGAUCACAUUUAUAUCUGUGACAAGUCACAGGAGGGCCUCACUCUUUUAAAAAGCCAUCUUAUUGUAGUGUUCUAGGGAAGAGACUGUUGGAUGUUCUUUUCCUGGACACAAACUGCACUAUCUGCCAUUAGACAGAUUACUGGGGAAAAUGCAAAUACAUAGAGCUUUGCUGAGUCUUUGUAAAUAUAAAUGUCACCACUCAGCUCAGUUGAUUUUCCGGCAUCAAAUUCCUAUUAAUUUUCAAAUGUUUCUCCUCUGGCAUUUAUCUCCCUUAAGCUGGAUCCCACUGUUUCCUCAGAGGUACAGCAUUUAACUUUUCUAGCACCCAAGUUAAGAGGAGAAGAAAACAAAGACUGGGAGAGGUUGCUGAGUUGCCUCUUGACCCUGCAUUCUGACUCCCUCCUCCUCCCUUUCCUUAUCUCGAAGAGAUCACAAUGUCUGGAGCUAUUUCCUUCUUCCUUUGCCUAGAUUUAUGUCUUCAUGUAAACACACAGAGAGAAUGGAGAUCGGUAGAUAUACAGGCAUAUGACUGCCCUCUCUCCAGAGUGAGAAAUCUGGCUUUGAAAUUUCUUCCAUUUGACGUGCUUAGGCACACCCUCUAUCCUCCAGACCCUUUCAUCACCUCAUGGCUUCCCCACAAAGGCCCGCAUUUUCAACUCCCUGCUGCCCCCAGUCACUCUUGACUUUGUUUUCUUCUUUCAAAUGGCUACUAUUCUGUUCUACCCAUCAUUUCUGCUCCAUAGACUCUGCUUCCCCAGAGCCAAAAAGGAUUGGGGUUAAGUAAUGAUUUUUUGAAAGGGGUUCUUGCCUGGAGAAUCCCAGGGACGGGGAGCCUGGUGGGCUGCCGUCUAAGGGGUCGCACAGAGUCAGACACAACUGAAGCCACUUAGCAGCAGCAGCAGCAGCAGUAGUGAAAGAGAAGGUUCUGGUUUCAGGCUUUCCUCUACCGCCAUCUUCUGACUGGUUCAGGCCUCACAUUUCCUUGAAGAAACUGAUCAGUUCACUUCAGUUCAGUCGAUCAGUCGUGUCCAACUCUUUGCGACCCGAUGGACUGCAGCACACCAGGCCUCCCUGUCCAUUACCAGCUCCUGGAGUUUACUCAAACUCAUGUCCAUGAGUCGCUGAUGCCAUCCAACCAUCUCAUCCUCUGUCGUCUCCUUCUCUUCCUGCCAGUAUCAGGGUCUUUUCCAAUGAGUCUGUUCUUCAUAUCAGGUGGCCAAAGUAUUGGAGUUUUAAUAUCAGUCCUUCAGUGAAUAUUCAGGACUGAUUUCCUUUAGGAUGGACUGGUUGGAUCUCCUUGCAGUCCCAGGAACUCUCAAAAGUCUUCUCCAACACCACAGUUCAAAAGCAUCAAUUCUUUGGUGCUCAGCUUUCUUUAUACUCCAGCUCUCACAUCCAUACAUUACAAUAGCCUUGACUAGAUGGACCUUUGUGGACAAAGUAAUGCCUCUACUUUUUAAUAUGCUGUCUAGGUUGGUCAUAACUUUUCUUCCAAGGAGUAAGUGUCUUUUAAUUUCAUGGUUGCAGUCACCAUCUGCAGUGAUUUUGGAGACAGA